Molecule: ribosomal RNA, 558 nt
Filed under: Salmonella enterica
Lineage: Bacteria; Pseudomonadati; Pseudomonadota; Gammaproteobacteria; Enterobacterales; Enterobacteriaceae
Also listed under: 2 other names
Description: partial 23S ribosomal RNA
Rfam family: Bacterial large subunit ribosomal RNA
Source: RNAcentral
AGACCCGAAACCCGGUGAUCUAGCCAUGGGCAGGUUGAAGGUUGGGUAACACUAACUGGAGGACCGAACCGACUAAUGUUGAAAAAUUAGCGGAUGACCUGUGGCUGGGGGUGAAAGGCCAAUCAAACCGGGAGAUAGCUGGUUCUCCCCGAAAGCUAUUUAGGUAGCGCCUCGUGAAUUCAUCUCCGGGGGUAGAGCACUGUUUCGGCUAGGGGGCCAUCCCGGCUUACCAACCCGAUGCAAACUGCGAAUACCGGAGAAUGUUAUCACGGGAGACACACGGCGGGUGCUAACGUCCGUCGUGAAGAGGGAAACAACCCAGACCGCCAGCUAAGGUCCCAAAGUCAUGGUUAAGUGGGAAACGAUGUGGGAAGGCCCAGACAGCCAGGAUGUUGGCUUAGAAGCAGCCAUCAUUUAAAGAAAGCGUAAUAGCUCACUGGUCGAGUCGGCCUGCGCGGAAGAUGUAACGGGGCUAAACCAUGCACCGAAGCUGCGGCAGCGAACGUAUCACCCAAGACAACUUUACGGAGUUGACGAUUGACGGAGCGAAGCGACGUC